Molecule: ribosomal RNA, 253 nt
Filed under: uncultured bacterium
Lineage: Bacteria
Description: partial 16S ribosomal RNA
Rfam family: Bacterial small subunit ribosomal RNA
Source: RNAcentral
UACAGAGGUCUCAAGCGUUGUUCGGAUUCAUUGGGCGUAAAGGGUGCGUAGGCGGCGCGGUAAGUCGGGUGUGAAAUUUCGAGGCUUAACUUCGAAACUGCAUUCGAUACUGCCGUGCUAGAGGACUGGAGAGGAGACUGGAAUUUACGGUGUAGCGGUGAAAUGCGUAGAUAUCAGGAGGAACACCGGUGGCGAAGGCGGGUCUCUGGGCCGUAACUGACGCUGAGGAGCGAAAGCAUGGGGAGCGAACAGG